This 1405-nucleotide ribosomal RNA is filed under the name uncultured Bordetella sp. RNAcentral describes it as "partial 16S-23S ribosomal RNA intergenic spacer". It matches the Rfam family "Bacterial small subunit ribosomal RNA". Lineage: Bacteria; Pseudomonadati; Pseudomonadota; Betaproteobacteria; Burkholderiales; Alcaligenaceae. The record is from RNAcentral.
AGUCAAUGGGCAGCACGGACUUCGGUCUAUGGCGAGUGGCGAACGGGUGAGUAAUGUAUCGGAACGUGCCUAGUAGCGGGGAUAACUACGCGAAAGCGUAGCUAAUACCGCAUACGCCCUUCGGGAAAGCGGGGGACCUUCGGGCCUCGCACUAUUAGAGCGGCCGAUAUCGGAUUAGCUAGUUGUGUGGGUAAUGGUCACUGCGACAUCCGUAGUUGGUUUGAGAGGACGACCAGCCACACUGGGACUGAGACACGGCCCAGACUCCUACGGAGGCAGCAGUGGGGAAUUUUGGACAAUGGGGGAAACCGAUCCAGCCAUCCCGCGUGUGCGAUGAAGGCCUUCGGGUUGUAAAGCACUUUGGCAGGAAAGAAACGGUACGGAUAAUACCCCGUGCAACUGACGGUACCUGCAGAAUAAGCACCGCUAACUACAAAGCCAGCAGCCGCGGUAAUACGUAGGGCAAGCGUACAAUCGGAAUUACUGGCGUAAGCGUGCGGCGGUUCUGGAAAGAAAGAUGUGAAAUCCCAGAGCUUAACUUUGGAACUGUAUUUAACUACCGAGCUAGAGGCCAGAGGAGGGAAUUCCGCGUGUAGCAGUGAAAUGCGUAGAUAUGCGGAGGAACACCGAUGGCGAAGGUAGCCUCCUUGGAUAACAUCGAUGCCCGCGCACGAGCGUGGGGAGCAAACAGGAUUAGAUACCCUGGGUAGUCCACGCCCUAAACGACGUCAACUAGCUGUUGGGGCCUUGGCCUUUGGUAGCGCAGUUGCACCGCGUGAAGUUGACCGCCUGGGAGUACGGUCGCAAGAUUAAAACUCAAAGGAAUUGAUUGGGACCGCACAAGCGGUGGAUGAUGUGGAUUAAUUCGAUGCAACGCGAAAAACCUAUCACCCUUGACAUGUCUGAAUCCCAAAGAGAUUUGGGAGUGCUCGCAAGAGAACCGGAACACAGGUGCUGCAUGGCUGUUACCGCUCGUGUCGUGAGAUGUUGGGUUAAGUCCCGGCAAACGAGCGCGCAACCCUUGUCAUUAGUUGCUACGAAAGGGCACUCUAAUGAGACUGCCGGUGACAAACCGGAGGAAGGUGGGGAUGACGCUAAGUCCUCGCGGUCUUUAUGGGUAGGGCUUCACACGUCAUACAAUGGUCGGGACAGAGGUCGCUAACCCGCGAGGGGGAGCCAAUCCCAGAAACCCGAUCGUAGUCCGGAUCGCAGUCUGCAACUCGACUGCGUGAAGUCGGAAUCGCUAGUAAUCGCGGAUCAGCAUGUCGCGGUGAAUACGUUCCGGGUCUUGUACACACCGCCCGUCACACCAUGGGAGUGGGUUUCACCAGAAGUAGUUAGCCUAACCGUAAGGAGGGCGAUUACCACGGUAGAUUCAGACUGGGGUGAAGUCGUAACAAGGUAG